Molecule: non-coding RNA, 30 nt
Organism: Schistosoma mansoni
Lineage: Eukaryota; Metazoa; Platyhelminthes; Trematoda; Strigeidida; Schistosomatidae
Source: Rfam
AUGAGUCCCAAAUAGGACGAAACGCGCGUC